RNAcentral lists this ribosomal RNA (253 nucleotides) under uncultured bacterium. RNAcentral's name for it is "partial 16S ribosomal RNA". It matches the Rfam family "Bacterial small subunit ribosomal RNA", at positions 524 to 776 of the family's 1533-position model. The record is from RNAcentral.
UACAGAGGUCCCAAGCGUUGUUCGGAUUCACUGGGCGUAAAGGGUGCGUAGGUGGUGAGGUAAGUCGGAUGUGAAAUCUCCGAGCUCAACUCGGAAAUGGCAUUGGAAACUACCUUGCUCGAGGGUUGGAGGGGGGACUGGAAUGCUUGGUGUAGCAGUGAAAUGCGUAGAUAUCAAGCGGAACACCAGUGGCGAAGGCGAGUCUCUGGACGACUCCUGACACUGAGGCACGAAAGCUGGGGGAGCAAACAGG